RNAcentral lists this long non-coding RNA (251 nucleotides) under Oryza sativa Indica Group (long-grained rice). RNAcentral describes it as "lncRNA OsZS97_07G012650". Lineage: Eukaryota; Viridiplantae; Streptophyta; Magnoliopsida; Poales; Poaceae. The record is from RNAcentral.
CCACACGUUCCCUUUCAUUUCUUUCUCUUCUCAUACUCUCUCUCCUCAAAGUCUCUCUCUUCUCAAAGUCUCUACACCAGGGGAGUCACGAGAGAUGGCGAGACAUCAUCGCCGACGGCCACACGACGGCAUUGGAGUCGCUGGACCUCGCCGGCGGCCACACGACGGCGGCUGAGGCAGCAUGGCAGGGGUGUAGGGUGAUGUGGGAUAGGGUGGAGGCGUUGAACAUCGCCGGCAGCGACGGUGGCUAG